AUUGAACGCUGGCGGCAUGCUUUACACAUGCAAGUCGAACGGUAACAGGUUAAGCUGACGAGUGGCGAACGGGUGAGUAAUGCAUCGGAACGUGCCCGAUCGUGGGGGAUAACGCAGCGAAAGCUGCGCUAAUACCGCAUACGAUCUGAGGAUGAAAGCGGGGGACCGUAAGGCCUCGCGCGAUCGGAGCGGCCGAUGGCAGAUUAGGCAGUUGGUGGGGUAAAGGCUCACCAAGCCGACGAUCUGGAGCUGGUCUGAGAGGACGACCAGCCACACUGGGACUGAGACACGGCCCAGACUCCUACGGGAGGCAGCAGUGGGGAAUUUUGGACAAUGGGCGCAAGCCUGAUCCAGCAAUGCCGCGUGCAGGAAGAAGGCCUUCGGGUUGUAAACUGCUUUUGUACGGAGCGAAAAGGCUCUCUCUAAUACAGGGGGCUCAUGACGGUACCGUAAGAAUAAGCACCGGCUAACUACGUGCCAGCAGCCGCCGUAA
This 493-nucleotide ribosomal RNA is filed under the name uncultured bacterium. RNAcentral's name for it is "partial 16S ribosomal RNA". It matches the Rfam family "Bacterial small subunit ribosomal RNA", at positions 29 to 523 of the family's 1533-position model. The record is from RNAcentral.